AACAGCUAGAGUUUGAUCCUGGCUCAGGAUGAACGCUAGCGACAGGCCUAACACAUGCAAGUCGAGCGGCAGCACCUCGGGUGGCGAGCGGCGCACGGGUGAGUAACGCGUAUGUAACCUGCCCAUGAGUGGGGGAUAGCCCGGUGAAAACCGGAUUAAUACCCCAUGACACCAAUGUCUGACAUCAUUUAUUGGUUAAAGAUUGAUUGCUCAUGGAUGGACAUGCGUUGGAUUAGCUAGUCGGCGGGGCAACGGCCCACCGAGGCUACGAUCCAGUAGGGGUUCUGAGAGGAACGGUCCCCCACAUUGGUACUGAGACACGGACCAAACUCCGUACGGGAGGCAGCAGUGAGGAAUAUUGGUCAAUGGGCGGAAGCCUGAACCAGCCAAGUAGCGUGGGGGAUGACUGCCCUAUGGGUUGUAAACCCCUUUUGCGCGGGGAUAAACCGGCGGACGCGUCCGCCGCUGCAGGUACCGCGCGAAUAAGGACCGGCUAAUUCCGUGCC
Molecule: ribosomal RNA, 506 nt
Filed under: uncultured organism
Description: SSU rRNA
Rfam family: Bacterial small subunit ribosomal RNA
Source: RNAcentral